ACUAAAAUGAGGACUUUAUUAAAGGAGGCUGGGAAGAGCGAGCUUUUUAUUUGCAUCACGACACAAUAUAUCUCAACACAAAUAUGGACAUGUUAAUCUCAGUUAUAGAACUGUUUGUACCUUUCCUGUUGAAAUAUUUCACUUGUUCAAAAUCUCGAGCACUGCGUUCUCAAAUGUUUCAGAAUUUUCUUCUUGCAGCCAGCCCAUAGCUCAGAAGCAUUUCAAGAUUGAAAUUUUUUGCAAAUGGAUUUGCCUUUUAACCCAAACAUCCAAAUAAUGCAGGCAACCACUGCACUGGUCAUCUAGAGAUCGAAAUAGAAACAUGAAGUGAAAGCCCUUCAUUCUAGACAGAAGAACGUCAGAACCAACAUGUCGAGAAAUAUCAGGAUUCAGGAGCUGUCAAUCAGACCCAUGGAUAGGUUGAAAGAGUCCAGGUACCUGAAGAAAUUCAUUUUGAAAAUAGUCAUGUAAAUAUUUGAGAACCCACGUUCAUUAAUAAAUCAAGAUAACAUUAAUGCAAUAUCUGACACUACCGGUUCCCCAA
RNAcentral lists this long non-coding RNA (544 nucleotides) under Aquilegia coerulea. RNAcentral's name for it is "long non-coding RNA (ACOE_LNC001739)". Lineage: Eukaryota; Viridiplantae; Streptophyta; Magnoliopsida; Ranunculales; Ranunculaceae. The record is from RNAcentral.